This 450-nucleotide ribosomal RNA is filed under the name uncultured bacterium. Its description in RNAcentral is "bacterial SSU rRNA". It matches the Rfam family "Bacterial small subunit ribosomal RNA", at positions 355 to 825 of the family's 1533-position model. The record is from RNAcentral.
UCAAGAAACUUCCACAAUGGGCGAAAGCCUGAUGGAGCGACGUCGCGUGAUGGACGAAGUGCUUCGGCACGUAAACAUCUUUUAUGUGGGAUGAAACUAUUGACAGUACCACAUGAAUAAGGGGCUCCUAACUCUGUGCCAGCAGGAGCGGUAAUACAGAGGCCCCAAGCGUUAUCCGGAAUCACUGGGCGUAAAGGGUGUCGAGGCGGUUGUAUUAGUCGUUCGUAAAAUCUACGAGCUUAACUUGUAGGCGGCGAACGAAACGGUACGACUUGAGGUUUGGAGAGGUGCGUGGAACUCACGGUGUAGGGGUGAAAUCCGUUGAUAUCGUGGGGAACACCAAAGGCGAAGGCAGCGCACUGGCCAAAAUCUGACGCUCACACACGAAAGCUAGGGUAGCGAAGAGGAUUAGAUACCCACGUAGUCCCUGAGCGGGCUGGCAAGGCGCAU